ACAAGAAAUUAUUUCUUCUACGUUUAUUUUAGUAUAAAAAUAAUAAAAUAAUAAAUUAAACUGCCCUCUUUUCUUUUUUUUUUUCUUUUUUUUUCAUUAAUUAUUUCUGACAAAAUGGCUACUAUGAACGAAAAUCAUUUAAACUCAUUAAAAAGGGUAAGUUUACACAUUAUGACAUAUAUUAAUGUUAAAUAAGCUAUUUAUACGUACACAUGUAAAUACAUAUACAUAUAUAUAUGACAAUAUGUGCACUUUUUUUAAAUAAUUUUAGUUUGUAACAUAUUACACAUGCUGUAACCACAUAGGGUUGUAUAACAUUGUUAAGUUUGCUAGCUUAAGUACAUAAAAACUGAUUUUUUUUUUUUUUUUUCUUUUUUUUUUACCUAUACAGUUAAAAGAAAUAUCCAGUAUAAUUGAAACCACACUACAACAAAAUAAUAGAUUAAAAAACAUUUUAGCUAGCGAAGUUUAUUUUAGAAAAAAGUGUGAAGCAUCUUUAGAAACGAUCAACAACACUACAGAUGAACAAGAGUGCUACAGAAAGGUUUCUAAAAUUUUUAUCAAAAAGACAAAAGAAGAUUUAAAAGAAGAACUUAAUGAUGAACUCGCUCAGUACGAUAAACAUACUCCGUAUUUGUUGGAGUUAAGAAAAAAAAUAGUUGAUAAAUUGUCAAAUUUGAAGGAGCAGUAUAUACAAACGCAUGAAAUUGUAAUUUUUUUUUUUUUUUUUUAAUCUUUCUAAACACGUUA
This 750-nucleotide long non-coding RNA is filed under the name Piliocolobus tephrosceles (Ugandan red Colobus). RNAcentral describes it as "lncRNA (ENSPTEG00000017628.1)". Lineage: Eukaryota; Metazoa; Chordata; Mammalia; Primates; Cercopithecidae. The record is from RNAcentral.